Molecule: ribosomal RNA, 484 nt
Filed under: uncultured bacterium
Lineage: Bacteria
Description: partial 16S ribosomal RNA
Rfam family: Bacterial small subunit ribosomal RNA
Source: RNAcentral
GACGAACGCUGGCGGCGUGCUUAACACAAGCAAGUCGAACGAUGAAGCUGGAGCUUGCUCCGGUGGAUUAGUGGCGAACGGGUGAGUAACACGUGAGCAAUCUGCCCUUGACUCUGGAAUAACUGCGGGAAACUGUAGCUAAUACCGGAUACUUUCACUGGAAGGCAUCUUCUGGUGAAGAAAGAAUUUCGGUCAAGGAUGAGCUCGCGGCCUAUCAGCUUGUUGGUGAGGUAACGGCUCACCAAGGCGACGACGGGUAGCCGGCCUGAGAGGGUGACCGGCCACACUGGGACUGAGACACGGCCCAGACUCCUACGGGAGGCAGCAGUGGGGAAUAUUGCACAAUGGGCGCAAGCCUGAUGCAGCAACGCCGCGUGAGGGAUGAAGGCCUUCGGGUUGUAAACCUCUUUUAGCAGGGAAGAAGCGAAAGUGACGGUACCUGCAGAAAAAGCACCGGCUAACUACGUGCCAGCCGCCGCGGUAA